Molecule: ribosomal RNA, 551 nt
Filed under: uncultured bacterium
Lineage: Bacteria
Description: partial 16S ribosomal RNA
Rfam family: Bacterial small subunit ribosomal RNA
Source: RNAcentral
UGGGGAAUAUUGCACAAUGGGCGCAAGCCUGAUGCAGCCAUGCCGCGUGUGUGAAGAAGGCCUUCGGGUUGUAAAGCACUUUCAGCGAGGAGGAAGGUGGUGAGCUUAAUACGCUCAUCAAUUGACGUUACUCGCAGAAGAAGCACCGGCUAACUCCGUGCCAGCAGCCGCGGUAAUACGGAGGGUGCAAGCGUUAAUCGGAAUUACUGGGCGUAAAGCGCACGCAGGCGGUUUGUUAAGUCAGAUGUGAAAUCCCCGGGCUCAACCUGGGAACUGCGUUUGAAACUGGCAAGCUAGAGUCUCGUAGAGGGGGGUAGAAUUCCAGGUGUAGCGGUGAAAUGCGUAGAGAUCUGGAGGAAUACCGGUGGCGAAGGCGGCCCCCCUGGACGAAGACUGACGCUCAGGUGCGAAAGCGUGGGGCAGCAAACAGGAUUAGAUACCCUGGUAGUCCAGCGCUGUAAACGAUGUCGAUUUGGAGGUUGUGCCCUUGAGGCGUGGCUUCCGGAGCUAACGCGUUAAAUCGACCGCCUGGGGAGUACGGCCGCAAGGUU